RNAcentral lists this ribosomal RNA (253 nucleotides) under uncultured bacterium. RNAcentral describes it as "partial 16S ribosomal RNA". It matches the Rfam family "Bacterial small subunit ribosomal RNA", at positions 524 to 776 of the family's 1533-position model. The record is from RNAcentral.
UACGGAGGGUGCAAACGUUGCUCGGAAUUAUUGGGCGUAAAGCGCACGUAGGCGGCCGAAUAAGUCGGGUGUGAAAGCCCUGGGCUCAACCCAGGAAGUGCACUCGAAACUGCUCGGCUUGAGUAUGGAAGAGGGUUGCGGAAUUCCCGGUGUAGAGGUGAAAUUCGUAGAUAUCGGGAGGAACACCGGUGGCGAAGGCGGCAUCCUGGACCAACACUGACACUGAGGAGCGAAAGCCAGGGGAGCAAACGGG